This 371-nucleotide unclassified non-coding RNA is filed under the name soil metagenome. RNAcentral describes it as "partial contains 5.8S ribosomal RNA, internal transcribed spacer 2, and large subunit ribosomal RNA". The stretch from base 1 to 120 matches the Rfam family "5.8S ribosomal RNA", at positions 35 to 154 of the family's 154-position model. The record is from RNAcentral.
GAUGAAGAACGUAGCGAAAUGCGAUAAGUAAUGUGAAUUGCAGAAUUCAGUGAAUCAUCGAAUCUUUGAACGCACAUUGCGCCCCCUGGAAUUCCGGGGGGCAUGCCUGUUCGAGCGUCUCAGGGACGAACCCUCGCGCGGGUGUACGCGCGGUCGUGGCUGCGGUGGCGUGCCCGAGGCGGCGGCCACCGCGCUGGGAUCCAUGGGCGGACGCCUGCCGCGUGGCCGAGCGUGAUAUGACGCAUUGGCGCUCGCACGCGGAGAGGCUGCCAGCCCUGGCCCGUCUGUCGGGCGGGGGAGAGCAAGACACGUGAACUCCUCGAAUCAGGUAGGGAUACCCGCUGAACUUAAGCAUAUCAAUAAGCGGAGGA